Molecule: long non-coding RNA, 439 nt
Organism: Saccostrea echinata
Lineage: Eukaryota; Metazoa; Mollusca; Bivalvia; Ostreida; Ostreidae
Exons: 4
Source: RefSeq, a predicted model, not a curated record
UGGAAUAAUCCAGUCACGGUUAAUAAUUGCCGUCUAUUUGGAAUUAAUCGGGAGGAUCUGAACCAAGGUGAGUGAUGUGUACCAGUCAUGACAAUAGAACUAAUGAUAUCUGAGGAUUACAGUGUUAAAACACAGGAAGAAGAGCUCCACAGAGGAAGGAGAAAAAAAUCCCCGUCAAUAGUAUCAGAUGCAGGAGUACAAUAUCAUGAGCCGAGACAAGAGAGAACUGUCUCUGGAAUAUACUGGCUACGCAAAGACAAACAAAAGGGAGAGAUUAAUUAAACAGGACCAGAAAACAUUCAGAACAACAGAAAAGAGAGUUAGGAAGCAUCAAUCAUGGGGGCUGGAAAACAAAGUGGACAACUAAGAUGGUGCUUCUGACAACUUAGUACUACAUGUAGUAUAAUCAGGCUCAGUAGAACCUGGGCAUCAAAGUCAU